CCUACGGGAGGCAGCAGUGAGGAAUAUUGCACAAUGGGCGAAACCCUGAAGCAGCGAAGUCGCGUGAGGGAAGACGUAUCUCGGGAUGUAAAGCUCUAUCAGCAGGGGAGAAAAGGACGGUACCUGAUGAAGAAGCCCCGGCUCACUACGGGCCAGCAGCCGCGGUAAUAAGGAGGGGGCAAGGGUUAUCCGGAUUUACUGGGUGUAAAGGGAGCGUAGACGGGAGCACAAGGCUGGAGGGAAAUGCCGGGGCGUAACCCCGGAACUGCUUUGGAAACUGGGCAGCUAGAGUGCAGGAGAGGUAAGUGGAAUUCCUAGUGUAGCGGUGAAAUGCGUAGAUAUUAGGAAGAACCCCAGUGGCGAAGGCGGCUUACUGGAGUGGAACUGACGUUGAGGCUCGAAAGCGUGGGUAGCAAACAGGAUUAGAUACCCGUGUAGUC
Molecule: ribosomal RNA, 440 nt
Filed under: uncultured bacterium
Lineage: Bacteria
Description: partial 16S ribosomal RNA
Rfam family: Bacterial small subunit ribosomal RNA
Source: RNAcentral